RNAcentral lists this ribosomal RNA (690 nucleotides) under uncultured Acidobacteriota bacterium. RNAcentral describes it as "bacterial SSU rRNA". It matches the Rfam family "Bacterial small subunit ribosomal RNA", at positions 15 to 737 of the family's 1533-position model. Lineage: Bacteria; Pseudomonadati; Acidobacteriota. The record is from RNAcentral.
GAUCCUGGCUCAGAAUCAACGCUGGCGGCGCGCUUAACACAUGCAAGUCGCACGAGAAAGGGGAGCAAUCCCUGAGUACAGUGGCGCACGGGUGAGUAACACGUGGGUAAUCCACCCUUUAGUGGGGAAUAACCCUGGGAAACCGGGGCUAAUACCGCAUAAGCCUGAGAAGGGAAAGCAGCAAUGCGCUGAAGGAGGAGCUCGCGGCCGAUUAGCUAGUUGGUGGGGUAACGGCUCACCAAGGCGACGAUCGGUAGCCGGCCUGAGAGGGCACACGGCCACACUGGCACUGAAACACGGGCCAGACUCCUACGGGAGGCAGCAGUGGGGAAUCUUGCACAAUGGGGGAAACCCUGAUGCAGCGACGCCGCGUGAGCGAUGAAGCCCUUCGGGGUGUAAAGCUCUUUCGACGGGAACGAUAAUGACGGUACCCGGAGAAGAAGCUGCGGCUAACUACGUGCCAGCAGCCGCGGUAAUACGUAGGCAGCAAGCGUUGUUCGGAAUUACUGGGCGUAAAGAGUGUGUAGGCGGUGCUCUAAGUUCGGUGUGAAAUCUCCCGGCUCAACUGGGAGGGUGCGCCGGAAACUGGAGUGCUGGAGCGCGGGAGAGGAAUGCGGAAUUCCUGGUGUAGCGGUGAAAUGCGUAGAUAUCAGGAGGAACACCGGCGGUGUAGACGGCUUUCUGGACCGU